AUUGAACGCUGGCGGAAUGCUUUACACAUGCAAGUCGGGCGGCAGCAUGGACCUCGGUCUGAUGGCGAGCGGCGAACGGGUGAGUAAUGCAUCGGAACGUACCUAGUUGUGGGGGAUAGCUCGGCGAAAGCCGGAUUAAUACCGCAUACGUCCUACGGGAGAAAGCAGGGGAUCGCAAGACCUUGCGCAAUUGGAGCGGCCGAUGUCUGAUUAGCUAGUUGGUGGGGUAAAGGCUCACCAAGGCGACGAUCAGUAGCGGGUCUGAGAGGAUGAUCCGCCACACUGGGACUGAGACACGGCCCAGACUCCUACGGGAGGCAGCAGUGGGGAAUUUUGGACAAUGGGCGCAAGCCUGAUCCAGCCAUUCCGCGUUUGAGUGAAAGAAGGGCCUUCGGGUUGUAAAGCUCUUUCGGCAGGAACGAAACGGUUUACGGCUAAUACCCGUGACUACUGACGGUACCUGAAGAAGAAGCACCGGCUAACUACGUGCCAGCAGCCGCGGUAAUACGUAGGGUGCGAGCGUUAAUCGGAAUUACUGGGCGUAAAGCGUGCGCAGGCGGAUUGUUAAGCAAGAUGUGAAAUCCCCGGGCUUAACCUGGGAAUGGCAUUUUGAACUGGCAGUCUAGAGUGUGUCAGAGGGGGGUGGAAUUCCACGUGUAGCAGUGAAAUGCGUAGAUAUGUGGAGGAACACCAAUGGCGAAGGCAGCCCCCUGGGAUAACACUGACGCUCAUGUACGAAAGCGUGGGUAGCAAACAGGAUUAGAUACCCUGGUAGUCCACGCCCUAAACGAUGUCAACUGGUUGUUGGGGGAGUGAAAUCCCUUAGUAACGAAGCUAACGCGUGAAGUUGACCGCCUGGGGAGUACGGUCGCAAGAUUAAAACUCAAAGGAAUUGACGGGGACCCGCACAAGUGGUGGAUGAUGUGGAUUAAUUCGAUGCAACGCGAAAAACCUUACCUACCCUUGACAUGUCCGGAAUCCUGCAGAGAUGCGGGGGUGCCUCGAAAGAGAACCGGAACACAGGUGCUGCAUGGCUGUCGUCAGCUCGUGUCGUGAGAAUGUUGGGUUAAGUCCCGCAAACGAGCGCAACCCUUAUCAUUAGUUGCUACGCAAGAGCACUCUAAGGAGACUGCCGGUGACAAACCGGAGGAAGGUGGGGAUGACGUCAAGUCCUCAUGGCCCUUAUGGGUAGGGCUUCACACGUCAUACAAUGGUCGGUACAGAGGGUUGCCAAGCCGCGAGGUGGGGCCAAUCCCACAAAGCCGAUCGUAGUCCGGAUUGUUCUCUGCAACUCGAGAGCAUGAAGUCGGAAUCGCUAGUAAUCGCAGGUCAGCAUACUGCGGUGAAUACGUUCCCGGGUCUUGUACACACCGCCCGUCACACCAUGGGAGUGGGUUGCUCCAGAAGUAGGUAGCCUAACCGCAAGGGGGGCGCUUACCACGGAGUGAUUCAUGACUGGGGUG
This 1463-nucleotide ribosomal RNA is filed under the name uncultured Thiobacillus sp. Its description in RNAcentral is "bacterial SSU rRNA". It matches the Rfam family "Bacterial small subunit ribosomal RNA". Lineage: Bacteria; Pseudomonadati; Pseudomonadota; Betaproteobacteria; Nitrosomonadales; Thiobacillaceae. The record is from RNAcentral.